AGCCUGAUGCAGCCAUGCCGCGUGUGUGAAGAAGGCCUUCGGGUUGUAAAGCACUUUCAGUCGUGAGGAAGGUGGUGUAGUUAAUAGCUGCAUUACUUGACGUUAGCGACAGAAGAAGCACCGGCUAACUCCGUGCCAGCAGCCGCGGUAAUACGGAGGGUGCGAGCGUUAAUCGGAAUUACUGGGCGUAAAGCGCAUGCAGGUGGUUUGUUAAGUCAGAUGUGAAAGCCCGGGGCUCAACCUCGGAAUAGCAUUUGAAACUGGCAGACUAGAGUACUGUAGAGGGGGGUAGAAUUUCAGGUGUAGCGGUGAAAUGCGUAGAGAUCUGAAGGAAUACCGGUGGCGAAGGCGGCCCCCUGGACAGAUACUGACACUCAGAUGCGAAAGCGUGGGGAGCAAACAGGAUUAGAUACCCUGGUAGUCCACGCCGUAAACGAUGUCUACUUGGAGGUUGUGGCCUUGAGCCGUGGCUUUCGGAGCUAACGCGUUAAGUAGACCGCCU
RNAcentral lists this ribosomal RNA (502 nucleotides) under Vibrio sp. 8Bf3S52. Its description in RNAcentral is "bacterial SSU rRNA". It matches the Rfam family "Bacterial small subunit ribosomal RNA", at positions 380 to 874 of the family's 1533-position model. Lineage: Bacteria; Pseudomonadati; Pseudomonadota; Gammaproteobacteria; Vibrionales; Vibrionaceae. The record is from RNAcentral.